GAUCCUGGCUCAGAACGAACGCUGGCGGCAGGCUUAACACAUGCAAGUCGAACGCCCCGCAAGGGGAGUGGCAGACGGGUGAGUAACGCGUGGGAAUCUACCGUACCCUACGGAAUAACGCAUGGAAACGUGUGCUAAUACCGUAUACGCCCUACGGGGGAAAGAUUUAUCGGGGUAUGAUGAGCCCGCGUUGGAUUAGCUAGUUGGUGGGGUAAAGGCCUACCAAGGCGACGAUCCAUAGCUGGUCUGAGAGGAUGAUCAGCCACAUUGGGACUGAGACACGGCCCAAACUCCUACGGGAGGCAGCAGUGGGGAAUAUUGGACAAUGGGCGCAAGCCUGAUCCAGCCAUGCCGCGUGAGUGAUGAAGGUCUUAGGAUUGUAAAGCUCUUUCACCGAUGAAGAUAAUGACGGUAGUCGAGAGAGUC
This 426-nucleotide ribosomal RNA is filed under the name Rhizobiaceae bacterium CAS934i. RNAcentral describes it as "bacterial SSU rRNA". It matches the Rfam family "Bacterial small subunit ribosomal RNA", at positions 15 to 489 of the family's 1533-position model. Lineage: Bacteria; Pseudomonadati; Pseudomonadota; Alphaproteobacteria; Hyphomicrobiales; Rhizobiaceae. The record is from RNAcentral.